AUACGUAGGGUGCAAGCGUUAUCCGGAUUUACUGGGUGUAAAGGGAGCGCAGACGGCAGUGCAAGUCUGAAGUGGAAGCCCGGGGCUCAACCCCGGGACUGCUUUGGAAACUGUUCUGCUAGAGUACUGGAAGGGCAAGCGGAAUUCCUGGUGUAGCGGUGAAAUGCGUAGAUAUCAGGAGGAACACCGGUGGCGAAGGCGGCUUGCUGGACAGCAACUGACGUUGAGGCUCGAGAGCGUGGGGAGCAAACAGGAUUAGAUACCCUGGUAGUCCACGCUGUAAACGACGAAUACUAGGUGUUGGAAGACUAAGUCUUUCAGUGCCGUCGCAAACGCAGUAAGUAUUCCACCUGGGGAGUACGUUCGCAAGAAUGAAACUCAAAUGAAUUGGCGGGG
This 396-nucleotide ribosomal RNA is filed under the name uncultured bacterium. Its description in RNAcentral is "partial 16S ribosomal RNA". It matches the Rfam family "Bacterial small subunit ribosomal RNA", at positions 523 to 918 of the family's 1533-position model. The record is from RNAcentral.